Molecule: ribosomal RNA, 824 nt
Filed under: Macrolepiota capelariae
Lineage: Eukaryota; Fungi; Basidiomycota; Agaricomycetes; Agaricales; Agaricaceae
Description: Macrolepiota sp. CCN-2022a partial large subunit ribosomal RNA
Rfam family: Eukaryotic large subunit ribosomal RNA
Source: RNAcentral
GCGGGAAGAGCUCAAAUUUAAAAUCUGGCGGUCUCUGGCCGUCCGAGUUGUAAUCUAGAGAAGUGCUACCCGCGCUGGACCGUGUACAAGUCUCCUGGAAUGGAGCGUCAUAGAGGGUGAGAAUCCCGUCUCUGACACGGACUACCAGGGCUUUGUGGUACGCUCUCAAAGAGUCGAGUUGUUUGGGAAUGCAGCUCAAAAUGGGUGGUAAAUUCCAUCUAAAGCUAAAUAUUGGCGAGAGACCGAUAGCGAACAAGUACCGUGAGGGAAAGAUGAAAAGAACUUUGGAAAGAGAGUUAAACAGUACGUGAAAUUGCUGAAAGGGAAACGCUUGAAGUCAGUCGCGUUGGCCGGGGAUCAGCCUCGCUUUUGCGUGGUGUACUUUCUGGUUGACGGGUCAGCAUCAAUUUUGACCGCUGGAAAAAGGCUUGGGGAAUGUGGCAACUUCGGUUGUGUUAUAGCCCCUUGUCACAUACAGCGGUUGGGAUUGAGGAACUCAGCACGCCGCAAGGCCGGGUUUCGACCACGUUCGUGCUUAGGAUGCUGGCAUAAUGGCUUUAAGCGACCCGUCUUGAAACACGGACCAAGGAGUCUAACAUGCCUGCGAGUGUUUGGGUGGAAAACCCGAGCGCGUAAUGAAAGUGAAAGUUGAGAUCCCUGUCGUGGGGAGCAUCGACGCCCGGACCAGAACUUUUGGGACGGAUCCGCGGUAGAGCAUGUAUGUUGGGACCCGAAAGAUGGUGAACUAUGCCUGAAUAGGGUGAAGCCAGAGGAAACUCUGGUGGAGGCUCGUAGCGAUUCUGACGUGCAAAUCGAUCGUCAAA